This 66-nucleotide transfer RNA is filed under the name Noterus clavicornis. RNAcentral describes it as "tRNA-Leu". The record is from RNAcentral. RNAcentral also lists the same sequence under 1 other name. Lineage: Eukaryota; Metazoa; Arthropoda; Insecta; Coleoptera; Noteridae.
GUUAUUUUGGCAGAUUAGUGUAAUGAAUUUAGAAUUCAUAAAAAUAAUUAUUAAUUAUAAAUAAUA